This is a non-coding RNA of Triticum aestivum (bread wheat), 129 nucleotides long. Lineage: Eukaryota; Viridiplantae; Streptophyta; Magnoliopsida; Poales; Poaceae. The record is from Rfam.
CAAAUACUCCCUCCAUCCGGAAGUCAUCAAAAUGGAUAAAAGGAAAUGUAUCUAGACGUAUUUUAGUUUUAGAUACAUCUCUUUUUAUCCAUUUUGAUGACAACUAUUUUCGGACGGAGGGAGUAUUUA